Molecule: ribosomal RNA, 496 nt
Filed under: uncultured bacterium
Lineage: Bacteria
Description: bacterial SSU rRNA
Rfam family: Bacterial small subunit ribosomal RNA
Source: RNAcentral
CAGGAUGAACGCUGGCGGCGUGCUUAACACAUGCAAGUCGAACGGAGUUAGAGAGCUUGCUCUUAAACUUAGUGGCGGACGGGUGAGUAACGCGUGGGUAACCUGCCUUCACUGGGGGAUAACAGUUAGAAAUGACUGCUAAUACCGCAUAAGCGCACGGGAUCGCAUGACCUAGUGUGAAAAAACUCCGGUGGUGAAAGAUGGACCCGCGUCUGAUUAGCUAGUUGGUGAGGUAACGGCCCACCAAGGCGACGAUCAGUAGCCGGCCUGAGAGGGUGAACGGCCACAUUGGGACUGAGACACGGCCCAAACUCCUACGGGAGGCAGCAGUGGGGAAUAUUGGUCAAUGGGCGAGAGCCUGAACCAGCCAUGCCGCGUGCAAGGAAGACGGCCUUAUGGGUUGUAAACUGCUUUUAUUGGGGACGAGCAUGAGUACGCGUACUCAAAUGACGGUACCCGAUGAAUAAGCACCGGCUAACUCCGUGCCAGCCGCUGC